CAAUAGCGUAUAUUUAAGUUGCUGCAGUUAGAAAGCUCGUAGUUGGAUUUCGGGUGGGAAUGGCCGGUCCGCCGUUUCGGUGUGCACUUGCUACGCCCACCUUGCUGCCGGGGACGUGCUCUUGAGUUCACGCUCGGGACACGGAGUCGGCGAGGUUACUUUGAGUAAAUUAGAGUGUUCAAAGCAGGCCUACGCUCUGAAUACAUUAGCAUGGAAUAACACGAUAGGACUCUGGCCUAUCUUGUUGGUCUGUAGGACCGGAGUAAUGAUUAAGAGGGACAGUCGGGGGCAUUCGUAUUUCAUUGUCAGAGGUGAAAUUCUUGGAUUUAUGGAAGACGAACUACUGCGAAAGCAUUUGCCAAGGAUGUUUUCAUUAA
RNAcentral lists this ribosomal RNA (377 nucleotides) under uncultured eukaryote. RNAcentral's name for it is "partial 18S ribosomal RNA". It matches the Rfam family "Eukaryotic small subunit ribosomal RNA", at positions 592 to 976 of the family's 1831-position model. The record is from RNAcentral.